Molecule: ribosomal RNA, 465 nt
Filed under: uncultured bacterium
Lineage: Bacteria
Description: partial 16S ribosomal RNA
Rfam family: Bacterial small subunit ribosomal RNA
Source: RNAcentral
CCUACGGGGGGCAGCAGUAGGGAAUUUUCCACAAUGGGCGAAAGCCUGAUGGAGCAACGCCGCGUGGGUGAAGAAGGUCUUCGGAUCGUAAAACCCUGUUGUUAGAGAAGAAAGUGCGUGAGAGUAACUGUUCACGUUUCGACGGUAUCUAACCAGAAAGCCACGGCUAACUACGUGCCAGCAGCCGCGGUAAUACGUAGGUGGCAAGCGUUAUCCGGAUUUAUUGGGCGUAAAGGGAACGCAGGCGGUCUUUUAAGUCUGAUGUGAAAGCUUUCGGCUUAACCGGAGUAGUGCAUUGGAUACUGGGAGACUUGAGUGCAGAUGAGGAAGGAGGAACUCGAGGUGUAGCGGUGAAAUGCGUAGAUAUAAGGAAGAACACCGAUGGCGAAGGCAGCUCUCUAGACUGUAACUGACACUGAUGUUCGAAAGCGUGGGUAGCAAACAGGAUUAGAUACCCUGGUAGUC